Rosa rugosa (rugosa rose) is the source of this 617-nucleotide long non-coding RNA. RefSeq lists it as uncharacterized. NCBI's taxonomy places the organism in Eukaryota, Viridiplantae, Streptophyta, Magnoliopsida, Rosales, Rosaceae. The transcript has 3 exons. The record is from RefSeq and is a predicted model, not a curated record.
CACUCAUCACUCAUCACUCAUCCACAUCGAGCGCCUCUCUCACACUCUCACAGACUCUCUCUCAAACUCUCCGUCUCAAACCUCUACUUCUCCGCCGCCAGCCGCCACAUCCGGCCGUUUUGGACCAGCAGAGACUUGCGACUACUCUUCUUCAGAGUCCAGACCAGUUGAUCUAUCUUCUCCGCCGCAGAUCAAGAUUUGUUCCGCCUCAGAUCGAGACUUGUUCCGCCGCAGAUCGAGACUGGUUGCUCCUCAGAUCGAGAGUUGUUCCGCGUGAGAUCGAGAGUUGUUACGCCUCAGAGGCUCAGAUCGAGUCAUCGAGACUUGUUGCUCCUCAGAUCGAGAGUUGUUCCGCCUCAGAGAUCGAGAGUUGUUACGCCUCAGAGGCUCAGAUCGAGACUUGUUCCUCCUCAGAUCCUCAGAUCGACGUUGACGCAGAAGGUGUGGUCGUUGGACUUCGUUCCAAGUCUUCGUCAUGCAUCCACCACCGACGCAGAAGUGCUUCCUUGAUCAAGCACUAAACUGGUGAUCUCCUCAGAGGCUCAGAGCUAAAAAAAAUGGUGACGUCGGGCUUAUCCACUCAGUGAGGUUCUUUAUUUGGUGAAGACUUGAUUGUG